This 5451-nucleotide long non-coding RNA is filed under the name Equus caballus (horse). RNAcentral's name for it is "lncRNA (ENSECAG00000046909.1)". The record is from RNAcentral. Lineage: Eukaryota; Metazoa; Chordata; Mammalia; Perissodactyla; Equidae.
CCACUGUCAACCCCUUUGUUGUGGGGCCCCUAUUCUCCCCUGCUUGCGUCACCCCUGAACCAAGCAGGGGUGCCAGUGUCAAGAAGAAUAGUGUAUAUUAGUAAAGCUUAAUUUCUUUUAAAUUUGUUUUUAGAAAAAUAAAUACAAAUGGAAGUUUAAUUUUUUUCUUCCUACACCGCCAUGCAUCUUGUGUAUUCCCUGGGGUGUAUACGUGCCUCUGCCCUAAGCAAAUGGAAUUUUAAACCAACUGUCAUUUUAGAUGGAUCACCCAGUUGGCAUGUGGACGUCUGCUAUUCUCUUGAGCUUUUAAGAGGCUGUUGAUAUACUUCCAGUCAGAGAGGACAAGAGCCUCCAGGGUGGCCUUGGGAAAGGAAAGAGUCAAGGAAUUGGAGAGGUAUUUAAGAGAAGCAGUUUAUAGGACUUCAUUUCCAUAACAGCAGAACAUCUGGGAGGUAAAGAACUAUGUAUUCUCCACCAGCAACUGCCAUUUCUCUUGGCGCCAGAAUCUCGAUUUGCUCUAAACUCCUCAGCCUGUCAUCGUCCUACAGAACGUUGACACCUUUAUAUGGGUCCCAGGGCAAUUACAACCUUAUAUCUGCUUCUCACUCACAGAUGGACUAAUUGGUGGUGCCCUCCCUGCUGACAGCCCUCAGAUGUUGAAGGGAAAUCAGGCAGCCUUUGAUGGGCUGACUUUUAAUUGAGAGCUUCUGAUGGAUUCUUGAGUGGGUUUAGAGGAACCACGGUCCUAGAAGUGGGAGUUGUUAAAGACAGAUUACUGCACCAAGAGUAAAGUUUGAUUGAGAGGCUGGGAGAGGACUCAGCCAUCCAAAGCUUCCCUUGAAGGCCAGUGAUACCCCAAGGGGCAAGCUAACGACGCAUGUCUGGGAAUUCUUCCAAUGGCUCUCCUCCUUUCCUUAGCCCCUGCCUCUGAGGCAGUGGCUGUGUCCAAUGGAGGACUCAUGACUUCCAUCUGUAAGCUCUCCCUCCCAGUUAGUCCACUGUCUCCCUGGGGAGAGCCAAUGCACAUCAGAGUAUCAGUAUUAAAAACAACUUCUCAGCUAGAUUCCUCUCAGACAUCUAGUACAUCAAAAUCCCUCUCACCCUAAUUCCUUUUCCUCCUCUCUCCCUCCGCCACUGGGACUAGGUUCUUCUCUUAGCUCUUGGGGUGCCUUCUGCAUCCCCCCGGCCCCCUCUGUACCCUCCAUGUUCCGGUUCCAGGUUCUUCCUGGACUGAGCAGUAGGGGAAAAGGAGCAUCUGGUUUAGCAAAAGAUUUGAAGGUGACCUUCAUCGAGCCCUAAGAGAGAUAACAAUCUCUCUGCAAUCAACGAGCCUGGCUCCUCUGGAUACCAAAAUAGCAACUGUGGAGUAAGUCUGCCCCCUCCACCUCCUUCCCCUCCCUUUUUCUUCAGGACAACACAAAGAAACUCUAGGGGUGAACUGGGAAAUCACAGUAUCUUCUAACAGCCUGAAAGCCUGAAAAGCAAGUUCCUGUGUAUGUGUAUCUGCGGCUCAUCGGUACAGAAAAGCUAAUUAUCUCAGCGCUGUCGCCACCACCUUGCAUUCAGCAAAUUCUGUCCUUUCGAUUGUGAUCUUAUCGGUCCUAUCAAUAAUCCUGAGUUCAUAGAGGGUCCAGAAAUGGUGCACCCAUUCUAGGUAGGAGGGAACCAGGGUCCCAGGCCUGCCCAGGGUCACCCAGGGACGGAGUUCCCAGAGCAAAAGAUGACAGUCUGCUUCCUAAGAGUUCCUGUGGUAGAUUUCCACUGGGAAUGGCAUGUGUUCUCAGGACUUGAUUGCCAGACCUCAGGAACAUUUGCUAUUGGGAUGAUUAUUUUAUAGCAAUCUUAACAACCUCGUGCUGGCUCCCACCCUAUUCCUCUACUCCCUGGGCUGAGCCCUGAGCUGUUUUGAGCGACUGUUGCAGCACCCAGUGGGCGGUUAUCAAGGUAGGAACAUAUGGAGUGGGGAAGGAAAGAUCCUCCACUCUACGGCGUUUGGGGAGGGGAGUGAAGACGGCAUUUGUCAGGGUUGGAGUUAGCAGGGAUAUGGAACAUGUAUUUACAUAUGGCGGCAAAUUGCUGAUGGGAAAGAAGAAGCUGGCAAAUGGGAUGACUCAUCUAGAGAUGAAAAACACAAUAUCUGAAAUGAAAGAUAUACUGGAUGGAAUUACAGUGAGUAAGAUGUUAUAGAAGUAAAGAUUAGUCAACUUGAAGAAUAAAAAUGAUCCAAAAUUACAUAAUGAAACUGGGAAAAGAAGAGCAACUCACCAAGAAAACAUAAAAACCCUCAAUGCAUCUACUCCUAAAAAUACAGCUUCAAAAUAUAUGAAGCAAAGAUGAGAGAACUGAAAGAAGAAAUAGAAAACCCCACAAUUACAGUUGGAGACUUCAAUAACCGUUUCUCAAAUUUUAGAGAACAACUGGAGAAAAAGUCUGUAAGGAUCUAAAAGUCCCAGCUGCAUCUGGGAGGCAUGAGGCAGCUCUGCCAGCUGCACCUGAGCUCUGGAAUGUCAGUCAUGGCCAUCUUUCCUGCUGAAAUGUUCACAGAUAGCUGGGGUAGGAUGCCUCUAACAUCGUCCCUCAUUGCUGUUUCUGGACAUCUGAAAAGCUAGUGGCAGAGGGCUUUGUAAGGCCAAAUUUCAAAUGCAGGGACCCAUAAUUAGAGGCUGCAGUCCCAAGACAGUCUCUUAUAAAGCCCAACCCCCUUACCUUGUGUCAUGGAUUGAGCUGUGUGCCCCUAAAUCUCUUGUGUUGAAGUCCUAACCCCCAGCAUGUGACCUUACGUGGACAUAGGGUAGUUGCAGAUGUAAGUAGUUAAGGUGAGAUCAUACUGGAGUAGAGUGAGCCUCUGACCCAAUAUGACUGGUGUCCUUAUCCAAAGGGGAAAUGUGGACACAGACACACACAGGGAGAAGGCUCUAUGAUGAUUGGAGUGACGCUGCUACAAGCCAACGAACGACCAGAAGCUGGGAGAGAGACCUGGGAAAGACCCUUCCCUGGCGCCUUCAGAGCAGGCAUGCUCCCGCUGACACCUUGAUUUCAGACUUCCGGCCUCCAGAACUGUGAAACAAUGUAGUUUUGUUGUUCUAAGCCACCCAGUUUGUUAUGGCAGCCCUUGUGAACCAACACAGCUCAGCUCUGGCCCCAGCCUCCCUUUCCAGUACUAUCGUCCACCCCUCCCCUGCAGGAACUCGUGCUCCACAACACUGGUGCCCAGGCAGUUAUUUGUGGAAUAACCUGCUGCAUGGUUGUCUACUGGCCAGGUUCUCAGAUUGCACCCAAGAGACACACGGAGCAUCUGGGAAUGUGGGGAGGCCGGGAAAACCACCCAUUCAGCAGCCCAUCACCUGUGUCCUAUUUGUCCCGUCCUAGCAUGUGUAGAGGCUCCACAGAGGCCCUGAGGGUGGCCUCCUCAGGGAGCACCCUGAUCUUAAGUGAUUUUUCUUCAUGGUAGUUUCCAGAAGAAGAGUAUGAUGGGUCAGUGACUCUCACUCAGAGUGACACUCAUCUCCUGGGCUCGGUGAAUGAGUUAACAUUCACAAAACCCUCAGAACUGGCCGGCACAUAGAGACGGCUAUAGAAGUGUUGACCCAUCUAAGAGAUGGCUUCUCUUGAGUUCUAGCUUUUACAUGAUUGCUUUCUGUUCACACAUGGAGCCUUGGUCCAGUUCUCAAGUUUGAUGUCCCCUCCUUAACAAGCACCCUCAACGGAUGGAGGCUAGCCAAAGAGAAAGUAUGGAAACCCACUUGGACCCCUUUUCCUAGUCAGAAGCUGUGUAUGUGGCUGGUUAUAAAGGCUGGAUGGAUUCCUCACUACACCCACUAAAAAUAAGUAAGUAAAUGAAAGAAACUCUGGAUGGAUGGAUGGAUGAACAGAUGGAUGGAUGGAAGGAUGGAUGAAUGGAUGGAUAUAAGAGUUUCUUUUGAUCCAGGUAAGAAGGUAAAGUGAGGAGGAAUUGCAUGAAAGGUGUGUACAUGUCUGGAGAGAGGAAAUUUUGGAGGAUGUAAGUCUAUGCUUGUGUGUCCUUUGGCCCUCCUCAAUUCAGGACUAUGUGAUAGAUCAAGAUUUUAUAGGUUUAAUGUUCCCUCCCACCACCGUGUGCUUUACAUCUGUAUAAAGGGAGCUACAAAUCUUUCCAGGCAGAACGUGGCUGGGCCCUGCCUUUCUCCCCUUCUCAGUGAGAUCUGACUUGGAAACACAGCUGAACAGUCCAUGAUGAAUCAUAGCAUCUGUGGAACAGCCCAGAUAAGGAACAAUUUGCAUUUUCAUGUGAUAAUUCGCUACUCUCUGCAUUUUCAAAUUACCUUUAGAGCCACCUUAAUUCUGUUUCCAUAAACCACUGCUGUGUGCCCAAGUCACCAGGAGAUGGGGACUCCAGGGGCAGGUUUGUUUGGCUUUACAGGAGUGGGAAGGUCUCCUUCUCUGUAACAGGGGUGUAAGAAACCGAGCUGGCCAUGGAGAGCAUCUCUCGUAGUAGCUCCCCUGGGGAAAAAUUGUAGCUUCAAACCUAUCUUGCAUUUCCAUUCUCUCUGUCUGUGUGUUGCUUGGUUGAAAAUAAAGUAAACAUAAAUGGCUCCCCCUACUCCGCUGCCUCACAAUGCGGAGGAGACCCCGCCUCAGGUGCUCCUGCUCCCUCUCUGCUUCAGGAAGUAUGGCAUUGAGCGAAGUUGAUGGCAGCAGAACCUAUGGCUCCUGCAAACAGGGUCUUCUGAGGAAAGGGUGGUCUUGGAAGAGCUCCCCUGAGGCUGGAGGAGCUCCCCAGCCCUCUGGAGGAAACCACUGUGUGAUGCGUGUCUGCCUGCUUCUCGGUGUCACAGCUACUCUGAGAGGUGCCCUGUGGCUGAGGGGACUGGUCUGUCAUCCAGACAUCGGGAUCCCUGGCGGAAGGGGGAGAAUCGACCCUGAUCUCUCAAAGAUGUGCUCCUUCUACAUGAUACCUCCAGACAAGACACUUCAGAGUCUGCCACCAACCCCUCCUCAGUUUCUCCUAACUUUCACAACCCAGGAAGUUCUAUAUACUCAUCAGAAACCCUUCUUGCUGCAGUGCGAAUCCAUUUCCUUGCCCCAAAGCAGAGACCAGUCAUUCUUGCACUCUUGAGUCCACACAUGCCUGCAUUUCUUAAACAAAUUCUCAGAAUGCUAUCAAAUAAGUUAAUGAGGAGCCUUGUAAAAAUGAGAAUAAUUUCUGUUUCUCUGUCCUAAUUUACAUUUGUCCAUUUCCUGAGGUUCCAUUCUAUUAAAUUUUAAUUUGCUCCCUUCUCAUCCCCAGGCUUUUAGAAGUCUUACGUUGGAGUUUUUUCACACAGUUGGAGUCUCUUGGGUUCUGAUGGAUUAACUUAGGGGCAGGCAAGAUAUAUUUGGUCCCUAGAAGUGAUUUCUAGAUUGCCCAACCAACUGCUCAGGGGAGACUUGUCUAAGGGAGAGGGCACGAGUUGGCAUGAUGGUAGAGCGGUG